UGAGGAAUAUUGGUCAAUGGACGGAAGUCUGAACCAGCCAUGCCGCGUGCAGGAUGACGGCUCUAUGAGUUGUAAACUGCUUUUAUGCUAGGGUAAACUCGGGUACGUGUACCCGACUGAAAGUAUAGCAAGAAUAAGGAUCGGCUAACUCCGUGCCAGCAGCCGCGGUAAUACGGAGGAUCCAAGCGUUAUCCGGAUUUAUUGGGUUUAAAGGGUGCGUAGGCUGCUCGAUAAGUUAGAGGUGAAAAUUCGUCGCUUAACGACGGACGUGCCUCUGAUACUGUCGGGCUAGCGAGAGAGUGCUGUGGGCGGAAUGUGUAGUGUAGCGGUGAAAUGCUUAGAGAUUACACAGAACACCGAUUGCGAAAGCAGCUCACAAACUCUUUUCGGACGCUGAGGCACGAAAGCGUGGGGAGCAAACAGGAUUAGAUACCCUGGUAGUCCACGCUGUAAACGAUGAUUACUCGUUGUCGGCGAUAUAGCGAUCGGUGACUAAGCGAAA
This 502-nucleotide ribosomal RNA is filed under the name uncultured Bacteroidota bacterium. Its description in RNAcentral is "bacterial SSU rRNA". It matches the Rfam family "Bacterial small subunit ribosomal RNA", at positions 355 to 856 of the family's 1533-position model. The record is from RNAcentral. Lineage: Bacteria; Pseudomonadati; Bacteroidota.